This 72-nucleotide transfer RNA is filed under the name Sphaerodactylus townsendi. RNAcentral's name for it is "tRNA-Ala". It matches the Rfam family "tRNA". From Rfam's summary of the family: Transfer RNA (tRNA) molecules are approximately 80 nucleotides in length. The record is from RNAcentral. Lineage: Eukaryota; Metazoa; Chordata; Lepidosauria; Squamata; Sphaerodactylidae.
GGGAUUGUGGCUCAGCAGCAGAGUAUCUGUUUGGCACACAGAAGAUUCUGGGUUCAAUCCCCAGCAUUUCCA